CGGUUGCUACGUUCAACACACCCCGCCGCGCUCCAGGCUAAUUGGGCCCCAGGUGCGGCUCGGGCUGUGCCCGCGGGGGACGCCCCACUCCCCGCCUGGUUCCGCCUUAAAGGAACACGCCCCCAUUUCCCCUGCGCUUGGAGCCUCGCAGAUCCCAUCCGAGAAUCCUGGCUCCAAAAGGUUCUGGAAUUUACUCAACCUGACAAGCUCGCACGUGCUGGGGUCAGGUCACCUCUCAGCUGAUAGGGAAGAUAACUGCCACCAACAAACAUGUACUAGGCACUUGUCUGCUUCAAGAUUGCAUCAAGCACAGACAUGCAAAGAGCGGUUCUCUUCCCAGAGCAUGGAAUAAUCCGCUUCACGUCAUAUGCCAAGUGUCUGCAACUCACCAGGUAGCCUCGGAAGUCUGGACGUUCCAUCCGAACACUGGACUGUUUUCAUACAGCACUCACUCAGGACUGCAAAGCAGUUUCCCCCAGAUUUUUUGUUUAUCUUAUAAGGAUCUUAUUCUGAUUCAUGGAGUAAUUAAAUCCUUAUUAUAUCAGGUCACUUUCAAUGCAAAUAGAAGUCAUUUCUACAGUAUGUGCUUUCAGUGAGUAAGCUGCUAGUCACUCCAUUGAAUCUGAACAUAUGUAACUUGAAAUACCAGCAAGGGAGGGUCACCGUGAAGCAAAGCUUGAGUCAGCGCACCUAGAUCCUUGGGGGUAGCACUUGUUUGCUGCCAGAACUCAGGAUUCCUGAUAUUUCAGACUCAGAAAUCUUAUUGGCCCAGCACCUUCACAGCUGACCAGUGUCUCUCAGUGUGGAGCCCCACUAACCUGACUCAUAAAGCACUGAUGCCGCGUUGCAUCCUCUGCUCUUUCCCCAUAAGAGGAAUCCCUUUAGGACCAAAUUAAUUCCAAUGAUUGUUAGGUGAGCGUGGAAUCAAAGCAAAGGGAAGGAAUCAUAUGGUUCACAUACUGGAGGCAUUAACCAUUAGAACCAAGCACCCUUCUCCUUCAGGAGCAACGGUUCCUGAACAGUGGUGCAUUCAUGCCGCUGUCUUGGGCUCUCUGAUUCUAGAUCUUUCCAUGUUUCCCUUAAUAACCACUUCUCUUCUGUGGACAUACUUUUUUUUUUUUUUUAAAGUAUACAGACAGAUGCUGUUAAUAAAGCUAGAGAGGCUGGGUGCAGUGGCUCACGCCUGUAAUCCCAGCACUUUGGGAGGCCGAGGUGGGCGGAUCACUUGAAGUCAGGAGUU
Molecule: non-coding RNA, 1240 nt
Organism: Chlorocebus sabaeus (green monkey)
Lineage: Eukaryota; Metazoa; Chordata; Mammalia; Primates; Cercopithecidae
Source: RefSeq, a predicted model, not a curated record